This is a long non-coding RNA of Gasterosteus aculeatus aculeatus (three-spined stickleback), 2078 nucleotides long. The record is from Ensembl. Lineage: Eukaryota; Metazoa; Chordata; Actinopteri; Perciformes; Gasterosteidae.
GGUUAUUGUAGAGCCACCUCAUUAGUCUUCUUUAUAACUGGUACAAACGGGGGGGAAUAAAAGGGAAGUACCUGAAAGCGUUGAGUUGAUACUCAACGCAGCUGAAGGUUUUGAUCAGAGAUCCGAUGCCCGGCUGCCUGGUUUGUGGUGGAAGUACAAAUAACCUGCAGGAAAAACGGAGCCGCAGCUGUCCUCGAUAUUCUGCCGAUGGAGGGAAACACCAGGGUAAGAGCAGACCCCUCUGUUGCUGUCCCUGUACCGACUCCCUCAGGGCUGUUUUGACUUGAUUCUAUCAACUUGAUUUGAUCUUUUUCAAUUAUAUGUUGGUAGUUGUAAAACGCAUGAACUAUUUUGUUUGCAAUUUUGUGUGUCAUGUAUCCUUUUGUGUUUAGUCUUAAUGCUGUAGGUAGUUACAUUUGACAAUAUUAAUGAAUAUUACGAUAAAGCUGAAUUGGGUCCAUAUUACAAUUUAUUGUAAAAAAUAAAAGUGAAUUCCAUUGUAGUUUUAAAGUAGCCGUAGGUCAUUUCAGUAAAAUGAAUUCCCGUCCCUGAGUUCUUCUUCCUCCUCAAAAGAAAUUCACUUUGGGCAAACCUAAAGUGAAAUGGAAGUUUGGAGCUUCUUCAGCUUCUGAAAGGGAAUAGUCGUUGAGUGUACAAGAAGGAUUUAAAUCACAUUUUUUUGCAUUCGAUUGGACCUCUGAAAGGUGGGCUGCCGUUUAGCGUGAUAUGGACCUGCAGGGGUCUUCUGUUUCCACACACACCUCCCUCACUCGUUAGAUGCUGCAGGAGGACGAGGGACAGACGAGAGGGAAAUAUGUCCCGUUUUCAACCAGCCGCAAAUGCCCGACCGCCCCGUUCAGCCUCCAGCAAAGCCCCGACGGUGCGGAGAUGCCACCAGUUCAGCGAGCGGCACCCAUUGGAAGUCCACCUGCUUUUCCUGGCCCCAUCCUGCUGUCGCCGACGUCUAUGCCUCCAAGAGGAGCUGCUUUCAUCUCCACCGAGUUUGACCCGACCAAGUUGGCACCGAGUAGUGUAAAACACCCGGAGGACUCCAUCCAGGACUCUAUAGGAGACACAGGCAUGCCUUUGGAUAUGUGCGCCGACCACCAGCUGGGUUCUCCCACAGCACCGGUGAUGACCCUGCCGGGCACGGGAGUCAUGCAGGGUUCCAGACUGGGCAUGCCCCCUCUGCAGCCUCCCCCCAACAUGCCGAAUCCUCAUCUACCUCCUUUCCUCUCGCCUCCAAACAUGUCGCACAAUCACCCGCAAAUGAUGCCCGGACGGCCCGUGUUUUCUCCGGAGAGGUUCAGGAUGCCCAUGCCCUUUCCGCCUCGCGGCCCUCCUUUCCAUCGGCAUCUCUCCAUGGGACCAGACGGCAUGCACGACAGGGAAGGGAUGCAUUUCAGAAACGGGAGAGCAGGGUUUGGGUGCCCGCCCUUCCAGAGAGGGAGGUGGUAGAAGCAGGCAGAAUGACAGACCUGAGGGGAGAGGCGUCGGGAUCACUGUGACGGAUCAGUAUCACGACAUCUGGUUCAACAAGGAACUGCUGUAAAUAAUUGAGGGUGCUUAGACUUCUUUUAGUACCGCACCCUUUUCUUACCGUCACAUGAACAAUCACACAGACAGUGUUCUGAAUGUGAUCCACGCACCUCCAAGUUCACCAGAGGAGAGACCUUUUGUUGUAAAUACUGUACAUGCUCGUAGCUGUUUGCUAUCUUUUUGUAUAUUUGAAGUGUGUAGUUCAUGCUGAAGUCUAAUCUUAGUAGUUGGAGGGGAAAAAACAAAGGCAACGUCUGUAUUUUUGAGCGUAUUCCCUUUACCAUAGUUUUUGUCUAAGGAAGGAGACUGAAAAUCUAUAAUUCAAUCACCGUUUUGGUAUUUAGUUUUUAGCGAAAUGGCUUUUGUAACACACUAAUGUUUAAUUCCUGAGUUAAGAAGUUUGAUUUCAUUUGAAGUGGAAGAUUCAUGUCCUGCCAGCAGAGGGUAGUGUAAACCCUGUUACCGCGGCCAACCCCUGUUGUACAUUAAGGUCACACCUUGUAACUCGCAUUGAAAAUUAAAAAAAGGUUUCAAUUUGA